GACGAACGCUGGCGGCGUGCUUAACACAUGCAAGUCGAGCGGUAAGGCCCUUUCGGGGGUACACGAGCGGCGAACGGGUGAGUAACACGUGGGUGACCUGCCCUCAGCUCUGGGAUAGGCCUGGGAAACCGGGUCUAAUACCGGAUAUGACUCCAUGACGCAUGUUGNGGGGUGGAAAGCCUUGUGCGGCUGAGGAUGGGCCCGCGGCCUAUCAGCUUGUUGGUGGGGUGAUGGCCUACCAAGGCGACGACGGGUAGCCGGCCUGAGAGGGCGACCGGCCACACUGGGACUGAGACACGGCCCAGACUCCUACGGGAGGCAGCAGUGGGGAAUCUUGCGCAAGUGGGCGAAAGCCUGACGCAGCGACGCCGCGUGAGGGAUGACGGCCU
Molecule: ribosomal RNA, 389 nt
Filed under: uncultured bacterium
Lineage: Bacteria
Description: bacterial SSU rRNA
Rfam family: Bacterial small subunit ribosomal RNA
Source: RNAcentral